UACGGAAGGCAGCAGUGGGGAAUAUUGCACAAUGGGCGCAAGCCUGAUGCAGCCAUGCCGCGUGUAUGAAAAAGGCCUUCGGGUUGUAAAGUACUUUCAGUCGUGAGGAAGGUGUUAAGGUUAAUAACCUUAGCAAUUGACGUUAGCGACAGAAGAAGCACCGGCUAACUCCGUGCCAGCAGCCGCGGUAAUACGGAGGGUGCGAGCGUUAAUCGGAAUUACUGGGCGUAAAGGGCACGCAGGCGGUUAAUUAAGUUGGAUGUGAAAUCCCCGGGCUUAACCUGGGAAUGGCAUUCAAGACUGGUUAGCUAGAGUCUUGUAGAGGGGGUAGAAUUCCGAUGUGUAGCGGUGAAAUGCGUAGAGAUGUGGAGGAAUACCGGUGGCGAAGGCGGCCCCUGGACAAAGACUGACGCUCAUGUGCGAAAGCGUGGGGGCAAACGAGGGAUUAGAUACC
Molecule: ribosomal RNA, 454 nt
Filed under: uncultured bacterium
Lineage: Bacteria
Description: bacterial SSU rRNA
Rfam family: Bacterial small subunit ribosomal RNA
Source: RNAcentral